This 739-nucleotide long non-coding RNA is filed under the name Medicago truncatula (barrel medic). RNAcentral describes it as "lncRNA gene27258". The record is from RNAcentral. Lineage: Eukaryota; Viridiplantae; Streptophyta; Magnoliopsida; Fabales; Fabaceae.
CUCAGCUGCAAAAAAAGUGGUUGUUUAGCCGUGCAAACUAUCACCAGAAGAUUUGCGGUACUGAGUAAGCUCUUCGUUCACACGAGCAAGAAGUCUUUCAGACUGUGACAACCUCUUGGUAAAUCUGACGUUACCCAAAUUUUGAGCUCCCUUAUCCUGUAAUCCACAAAAUAAAAUGCUCAUAACUGAAAAGGAAUGUUUCAUUUUAGAAUGAUAAAGUAGACCCUACUAAAGAUAGAAAAUGCAAGUAGACCUUAGUCUUUGAUGAUUGUGGGACAUGUUGAGAAUUUCGUGUCCCAACUAGUGUUUUAACCAUGUCAUCCAAUUCUGCAAUCUUCCUAAUCAGAUUGGUCUUGUCCAUCUACAACAAUUGACAGGAAAAAGAUCAUAAACAGAUUGAUUUUUUUUUUAAUUCUUAUGUGGUAAAAACCAGAUCAUAGUGAUGUGUUGCUCCCUAGUAGUACCUUCAGCAUUCCAUUUUGUGCAGAAAGCAACUGAUCUCGCUCUUGGAGUAGUUGAACUGCAAUCUGAGUAGCAAGCAUAUCUGCCUCUUUAGUUCUCAGGUUUGAUAUGCAGCUGAGUCACAUAUUAAAUACGGUUAGAAUAGAAAUGAAAUUUGAGUUCAAUUUCAGAGUAUUAAGUCGUUCUAAAUCUUGAAAUAGCAUGGACGCAGAUUUCAGAGAACAUUAAAGAACCGAAAAUUUGGAAUGUAACUUAACACAUAAGACAUCUCUAAUAU